UGCGGGUGACGCCGUCCGGGCCGCGGCGGGCGUUGGCCACGCCCCGGGGAUGACGUUCGAAACGCCGCUCCCGCAG
This 76-nucleotide transfer RNA is filed under the name Streptomyces cellulosae. RNAcentral's name for it is "tRNA-Ala". The record is from RNAcentral. Lineage: Bacteria; Bacillati; Actinomycetota; Actinomycetes; Kitasatosporales; Streptomycetaceae.